CGAGAGUGUCACCACUCCCAACCCAUUGUUUACCUACCCGUCCACCGUGCUUCGGCAGGCAGCCCUGUGGGACAGAGCCUCGCCCCCCUCGCGGGGGGUGCCUGCCGCUGGCCAACCAAUACUCUAGCUGUUUUUGUACAAUCUGAGUCUUCCACAAAUGAACA
Molecule: unclassified non-coding RNA, 164 nt
Filed under: uncultured Myrmecridium
Lineage: Eukaryota; Fungi; Ascomycota; Sordariomycetes
Description: sequence contains ITS1
Source: RNAcentral